AACGAACGCUGGCGGCAUGCCUAACACAUGCAAGUCGAACGAGACCUUCGGGUCUCGUGGCGCACGGGUGCGUAACGCGUGGGAACCUGCCCUUAGGUUCGGAAUAACUCCCCGAAAGGGGUGCUAAUACCGGAUAAUGUCUUCGGACCACAGAUUUGUCGCCUUUGGAUGGGCCCGCGUUGGAUUAGCCAGUUGGUAGGGUAAAAGCCUAUCAAGGCGACGAUCCAUAGCUGGUCUGAGAGGAUGAUCAGCCACACUGGGACUGAGACACGGCCCAGACUCCUACGGGAGGCGGCAGAGGGGAAUAUUGGACAAUGGGCGAAAGCCUGAUCCAGCAAUGCCGGGUGAGUGAUGAAGGCCGUAGGGUUGUAAAGCUCGUUUACCCGGGAUGAUAAUGACGGUACCGGGAGAAUAAGCACCGGCUAACUCCGUG
This 433-nucleotide ribosomal RNA is filed under the name uncultured bacterium. RNAcentral's name for it is "partial 16S ribosomal RNA". It matches the Rfam family "Bacterial small subunit ribosomal RNA", at positions 29 to 507 of the family's 1533-position model. The record is from RNAcentral.